UGGCGAACGGGUGAGUAACAUAUCGGAACGUACCGGGUAGCGGGGGAUAACUGAUCGAAAGAUCAGCUAAUACCGCAUACGUCUUGAGAGGGAAAGCAGGGGACCUUCGGGCCUUGCGCUAUCCGAGCGGCCGAUAUCUGAUUAGCUGGUUGGCGGGGUAAAGGCCCACCAAGGCGACGAUCAGUAGCGGGUCUGAGAGGAUGAUCCGCCACACUGGGGACUGAGACACGGCCCAGACUCCUACGGGAGGCAGCAGCC
Molecule: ribosomal RNA, 258 nt
Filed under: uncultured Neisseria sp.
Lineage: Bacteria; Pseudomonadati; Pseudomonadota; Betaproteobacteria; Neisseriales; Neisseriaceae
Description: partial 16S ribosomal RNA
Rfam family: Bacterial small subunit ribosomal RNA
Source: RNAcentral